GGGGGCGUUAUAGCCGCACGAGAAUGAGCAAUAACAGGUCUGUGAUGCCCUUAGAUGUUCUGGGCUGCACGCGCGCUACACUGUAGGAAUCAGCGUGUGUACCCUGUCCGAAAGGACUGGGAAACCCGUUGAACCUCCUACGUGAUGGGGAUUGGGGAUUGCAAUUAUUCCCCAUGAACGAGGAAUUCCCAGUAGGCGCGAGUCAUAAGCUUGCGUCGAUUACGUCCCUGCCCUUUGUACACACCGCCCGUCGCUACUACCGAUCGAGUGAUUUAGUGAGGCCUUUGGACUGGUCUUCGUGAUGGCUUUCGGGUCGUGGCGGAGUGCCGGAAAAAUGGCCAAAC
RNAcentral lists this ribosomal RNA (344 nucleotides) under Sminthurides signatus. RNAcentral's name for it is "SSU rRNA". It matches the Rfam family "Eukaryotic small subunit ribosomal RNA", at positions 1422 to 1764 of the family's 1831-position model. Lineage: Eukaryota; Metazoa; Arthropoda; Collembola; Symphypleona; Sminthurididae. The record is from RNAcentral.